Molecule: microRNA precursor, 206 nt
Filed under: Oryza brachyantha (malo sina)
Lineage: Eukaryota; Viridiplantae; Streptophyta; Magnoliopsida; Poales; Poaceae
Description: MIR812 microRNA precursor family
Rfam family: MIR812 microRNA precursor family
Source: Rfam by way of RNAcentral
CAUAAAUCAAUCUUUCACUUAUUACCUAUAAUGUUUGACUCUUCGUCUUAUUUGAAAAAUAUUUACGAUUAAUAUUUUUAUUUUUAUUAGAUGAUAAAUCAUAAAUAGUACUUUAACUGUAACUAAUUUUUUUUAAAUUUCUUAAAAAUUUUCAAAUAAAACGGACGGAGAAACGUUAGACAUGAAAACCAAAGAAUUGGUUUUUU